CUGCUCCAGCUUUCCUGGACCCACGACAGCAGAGGAUAUCGUGGUGACAAGAAAGAGCCUUCUGCCCAUUUAGGAAGGCAAACUCCCUACUUUGCUCCCUGAGGACAGAUACCAAUAAUCAGAUGCCUAUUUACAUCUGUACAAAAGUUGGGACU
Molecule: long non-coding RNA, 155 nt
Filed under: Capra hircus (goat)
Lineage: Eukaryota; Metazoa; Chordata; Mammalia; Artiodactyla; Bovidae
Description: lncRNA (ENSCHIG00010003812.1)
Source: RNAcentral